RNAcentral lists this transfer RNA (76 nucleotides) under marine sediment metagenome. Its description in RNAcentral is "tRNA-Arg". It matches the Rfam family "tRNA". From Rfam's summary of the family: Transfer RNA (tRNA) molecules are approximately 80 nucleotides in length. Their secondary structure includes four short double-helical elements and three loops (D, anti-codon, and T loops). Further hydrogen bonds mediate the characteristic L-shaped molecular structure. tRNAs have two regions of fundamental functional importance: the anti-codon, which is responsible for specific mRNA codon recognition, and the 3' end, to which the tRNAs corresponding amino acid is attached (by aminoacyl-tRNA synthetases). tRNAs cope with the degeneracy of the genetic code in two manners: having more than one tRNA (with a specific anti-codon) for a particular amino acid; and 'wobble' base-pairing, i.e. permitting non-standard base-pairing at the 3rd anti-codon position. The record is from RNAcentral.
UCCGCCGUAGCUCAGUGGAUAGAGCGUCGGUUUCCUAAGCCGCGGGUCGCAGGUUCGACUCCUGCCGGCGGAGCCA